GACGAACGCUGGCGGCGUGCUUAACACAUGCAAGUCGAACGGAAAGGCCCUGCUUGCAGGGUACUCGAGUGGCGAACGGGUGAGUAACACGUGGGUGAUCUGCCCUGCACUUCGGGAUAAGCCUGGGAAACUGGGUCUAAUACCGGAUAGGAGCCAUUUUUAGUGUGAUGGUUGGAAAGUUUUUUCGGUGUAGGAUGAGCUCGCGGCCUAUCAGCUUGUUGGUGGGGUAAUGGCCUACCAAGGCGGCGACGGGUAGCCGGCCUGAGAGGGUGGACGGCCACAUUGGGACUGAGAUACGGCCCAGACUCCUACGGGAGGCAGCAGUGGGGAAUAUUGCACAAUGGGCGCAAGCCUGAUGCAGCGACGCCGCGUGGGGGAUGACGGCCUUCGGGUUGUAAACCCCUUUCGCUAGGGACGAAGCUUUUGUGACGGUACCUAGAUAAGAAGCACCGGCUAACUACGUG
Molecule: ribosomal RNA, 464 nt
Filed under: uncultured bacterium
Lineage: Bacteria
Description: partial 16S ribosomal RNA
Rfam family: Bacterial small subunit ribosomal RNA
Source: RNAcentral